This 303-nucleotide ribosomal RNA is filed under the name uncultured bacterium. Its description in RNAcentral is "partial 16S ribosomal RNA". It matches the Rfam family "Bacterial small subunit ribosomal RNA", at positions 507 to 809 of the family's 1533-position model. The record is from RNAcentral.
AGCAGUAGCCGCGGUAAUACGGAGGGUGCAAGCGUUAUCCGGAUUUAUUGGGUUUAAAGGGUCCGUAGGCGGACUUAUAAGUCAGUGGUGAAAGCCUGUCGCUUAACGAUAGAACUGCCAUUGAUACUGUAAGUCUUGAGUAUAUUUGAGGUAGCUGGAAUAAGUAGUGUAGCGGUGAAAUGCAUAGAUAUUACUUAGAACACCAAUUGCGAAGGCAGGUUACCAAGAUAUAACUGACGCUGAGGGACGAAAGCGUGGGUAGCGAACAGGAUUAGAUACCCGUGUAGUCCCUGUCUCUUAUAU